This 1059-nucleotide ribosomal RNA is filed under the name uncultured bacterium. RNAcentral describes it as "bacterial SSU rRNA". It matches the Rfam family "Bacterial small subunit ribosomal RNA", at positions 8 to 1056 of the family's 1533-position model. The record is from RNAcentral.
AGAGUUUGAUCAUGGCUCAGGAUGAACGCUGGCGGCGUGCCUAAUACAUGCAAGUCGAACGAAGAUGUACUUGAGUUUACUCGAGUGCUCUUAGUGGCGGACGGGUGAGUAACGCGUUGGUGACCCGCCCUAAAGAAGGGAACAACCUCGGGAAACUGAGGCUAAUACCCUAUGUGCUUCUAAUGAUUAGAUGCUUUUGAAGUAAAGGUUCUAUGGACGAAAGGCCAUAGCGCCGCUUUAGGAGGGGCCUGCGUACCAUCAGCUAGUUGGUAGGGUAAUGGCCUACCAAGGCGAUGACGGUUAGGGGACCUGAGAGGGUGACCCCCCACACUAGCACUGAAACACGGGCUAGACAUCUACGGAUGGCAGCAGUAGGGAAUCUUGCACAAUCGACGAAAGUCUGAUGCAGCAACGCCGCGUGUGCGAUGAAGGCCUUCGGGUUGUAAAGCACUUUUCUGAGGGAAGAGAAAGGACGGUACCUCAGGAAUAAGUCUCGGCUAACUACGUGCCAGCAGCCGCGGUAAUACGUAGGAGGCAAGCGUUAUCCGGAUUUAUUGGGCGUAAAGCGCGUGCAGGUGGUUUGGUAAGUUGGGUAUGAAAUCUCCUGGCUUAACUAGGAGAGGUUGCUCAAAACUGCCAGACUAGAGGACGAUAGAGGAAGGUGGAAUUCCCGGUGUAGUAGUGAAAUGCGUAGAUAUCGGGAGGAACACCAGUGGCGAAGGCGGCCUUCUGGGUCGUUCCUGACACUAAGACGCGAAAGUAUGGGUAGCAAACGGGAUUAGAAACCCCGGUAGUCCAUACCGUAAACGAUGUGAACUUGGUGUCGGUGGCGUAAUAGUCAUCGGUGCCGCAGUUAACGCGAUAAGUUCACCGCCUGGGGAGUACGAUCGCAAGGUUAAAACUCAAAGGAAUUGACGGGGACCCGCACAAGCAGCGGAGCGUGUGGUUUAAUUCGAUGCUACACGAAGAACCUUACCUGGGCUUGACAUAUAGGUGGUAGGGAUUCGAAAGAUGACCGACCCUUCGGGGAGCUUAUACAGGUGCUGCAUGGCUGUCGUC